Molecule: ribosomal RNA, 406 nt
Filed under: uncultured bacterium
Lineage: Bacteria
Description: bacterial SSU rRNA
Rfam family: Bacterial small subunit ribosomal RNA
Source: RNAcentral
CCAUGCCGCGUGCAGGAAGACAGCCCUCUGGGUCGUAAACUGCUUUAUUCGGGAAUAAACCUUUCUACGUGUAGGAAGCUGAAUGUACCGAAGGAAUAAGGAUCGGCUAACUCCGUGCCAGCAGCCGCGGUAAUACGGAGGAUCCAAGCGUUAUCCGGAUUUAUUGGGUUUAAAGGGUGCGUAGGCGGCUUAUUAAGUCAGGGGGUGAAAGACGGUGGCUCAACCAUCGCAGUGCCCUUGAUACUGAUGAGCUUGAAUACACUAGAGGUAGGCGGAAUGUGACAAGUAGCGGUGAAAUGCAUAGAUAUGUCACAGAACACCGAUUGCGAAGGCAGCUUACUAUGGUGUUAUUGACGCUGACGGCACGAAAGCGUGGGGAUCCAAACAGGAUUAGAUACCCUGGUAG